UCCGCAGGCGGUCAAUUAAGUCAGAGGUGAAAUACCAUAGCUCAACUAUGGACCUGCCUUUGAUACUGGUUGACUUGAGUCAUAUGGAAGUAGAUAGAAUGUGUAGUGUAGCGGUGAAAUGCAUAGAUAUUACACAGAAUACCGAUUGCGAAGGCAGUCUACUACGUAUGUACUGACGCUGAGGGACGAAAGCGUGGGGAUCAAACAGGAUUAGAUACCCUGGUAGUCC
RNAcentral lists this ribosomal RNA (229 nucleotides) under uncultured bacterium. RNAcentral's name for it is "partial 16S ribosomal RNA". It matches the Rfam family "Bacterial small subunit ribosomal RNA", at positions 568 to 796 of the family's 1533-position model. The record is from RNAcentral.